GUGGCGGACGGGUGAGUAACGCGUGGGUAACCUGCCCUGUACAGGGGGAUAACAGCUGGAAACGGCUGCUAAUACCGCAUAAGCGCACGAGGAGACAUCUCCUUGUGUGAAAAACUCCGGUGGUACAGGAUGGGCCCGCGUCUGAUUAGCUGGUUGGCAGGGUAACGGCCUACCAAGGCAACGAUCAGUAGCCGACCUGAGAGGGUGACCGGCCACAUUGGGACUGAGACACGGCCCAAACUCCUACGGGAGGCAGCAUG
RNAcentral lists this ribosomal RNA (260 nucleotides) under uncultured bacterium. RNAcentral describes it as "partial 16S ribosomal RNA". It matches the Rfam family "Bacterial small subunit ribosomal RNA", at positions 95 to 353 of the family's 1533-position model. The record is from RNAcentral.